This 479-nucleotide long non-coding RNA is filed under the name Homo sapiens (human). Its description in RNAcentral is "non-protein coding lnc-GOLGA8O-10:1". The record is from RNAcentral. Lineage: Eukaryota; Metazoa; Chordata; Mammalia; Primates; Hominidae.
CAGAACAUUAUGGUAUGUUAAGAAGCAAGGAAAAAUUGAAUAGUAAUAUUGGGCCAGGUGGCAACCAGGAAGUACUGAGAAUCCCAUAAGCAAAAGUUCCUGGAUAUUUUCUGCCAUUUAUAAGAUUCAGAUCCAGCGACUCCAGAUCAGGUUGAGACAUGGCUGCUCAGAGCCUCCCCUUAUGUACUGGGAGCAGUUCCGAGAGAAGGCAGAACAAUCAUGGGAUGGACAGCCAUUCUAAGGGGUACUUUCCAGCUUUCACCCCUUCAUGCUACACAUCAAAGAGCAGCAGACUCAGCUCUACCAGGCAUAACUGCAAACCCUUUCUCACUAAUAGGAGACAGUACAAGCUCAGACAGUAAUGAGAUCUGGAGUGAUGCCAUAGGCACCCUGUUCUUUGAGUCGUUGCUGAGAAGUUUUUUUUUUCUUGUCCUAUUACAACAUUUUAUAACCUUAUGAAUCAAUGGAUACUUUUAUUG